UGUGUGUGUGUGGUAGCGUUUGUACAACUAUAUAGUGGUCUUCUUGUUAUUUUUACUUUUAUUUAUUUAUGAUUUAUUAAGUUAGUUUUACAGUAAAAAUAUUUAUUACGUUGUAAUUCUAGCUUUAAAUCGUUACGUGAAAGACUCAGAAUGCUAAAAACUAGUGUGUAAAUAUUAAUCCAACAGGUACUGUUAGAGUACCUCACCUGCGUAGUCCCUUCCUGCUACAAAAUAAUCAUUUCGUGCGUCUUACGUUAUUCCAAUAGUGUUAACGAGGCACCAUGGCAGAAGCCCACUCAGCCGUUGCCUUCUCAUUUGCCAUCACCCACGAUGGCUGGGAUGUCAACUUUGACCGAGAAGUGCUUUAUCUGGUCUGGGAGUCUGGUCUGCGCUCCUGGAAGAAACGUCUGGCACGCUUCAAGAACAGCGUCCUGAAUGGAGUAUACCCCGGACAUUUGCAAUCACUGUAUGUGCUGUGGACCCUGCUCGCAGCAGCGCAUUUUGGAGGCUUUCAUAUACCCUUUGGUUUAGUACAAAAAGCACUUACCGUGUUACCUAGCUCCUCGACAAUGUGGCAAGUAAUCGCUUGUUUACUGGCCGCCCUCACGAUGUGGCUUUCCGUUAUAUUUCUCAUGAGAUAUAUGCUAAAGGUGCUGCUUAUGUACAAGGGUUGGAUGUACGAAUCGCGCGUACCUGGGUCGAAGAUAUCACUAAAAACAAAGUUAUGGGCUAGCGUCGUCAAAGUGUUGUCAGGCUGGAACAAGCCCCGGCUAUACAGCUUCCAGGGCUCGCUGCCGAGACUGCCCCUGCCCGGCGUGAAGGACACCAUGAUGAGGUAUUUGAUCAGCGUGCGGCCCUUGUUAGACGAUGAAAAUUAUCGCCGAGUGGAAAGAUUAGCGACAGAGUUUGAAGAAACAAUCGCUGUCAAACUACAGAGAUAUCUCGUGCUGAAAUCAUGGUGGUCAUCCAACUACGUGUCCGAUUGGUGGGAGGAGUACGUUUACCUGAGGGGAAGGUCGCCUCUCAUGGUCAACUCCAACUUCUACGGAACCGACGCCAUUCUGCUGAAGCCCACGAACAAUCAAGCAGCGCGCGCCGGGGUGGUCAUAUACCUCUGUCUGCAAUUCCGAAGGCUUAUUGAUAGACAGGAACUGGAACCAAUAAUGCUACAAGGCAUGGUGCCCCUGUGCUCGGCGCAGUACGAGCGGCUAUUCAACACGGUGCGCGUGCCCGGCGUGGAGAGUGACAAGAUCGUGCACUACCAGGACUGCAGCCACAUCACCGUCUACCACAAGGGCCGCUACUUCAAGGUCAUCAUCUACUACAGGGGACGCCUGCUCAAGCCGGCGGAGAUACAAGUCCAAAUCCAGCAGAUCCUGGACGACAAGUCGGCGCCGAUGCCGUGCGAGCCGGAGCUGGCCGCGCUGACGGCGGGCGAGCGCUCGCCCUGGGCGCACAUCCGCCAGACCAUGUUCAACCGCGGCCACAACCGCACCUCGCUGCACUGCAUCGAGCGCGCUGCCUUCAACGUCUGCUUAGAUGACAUGGAGUACGGGUACGACGAGAAGGACCCGAGCAAGUUGGACGAGUACGGGCGGGUGCUGCUGCACGGCAAGGGCUGCGACCGCUGGUUCGACAAGUCCUUCAACCUGUGCUUCAGCACCAACGGCUACGUCGGAUUCAAUGCGGAACAUACAUGGGCCGACGCGCCUGUGAUGGCUCAUCUUUGGGAAUAUGUUAUUUGGAGCGAAAUAGAAAUCGGAUACGCUCCGGACGGCAACACGCGGGGCUCGGUGGAGACGCCGCCGCCAGCGCCCAUCCGCCUGCAGUGGGAGCUGGAGCACGAGGAGCUGGCCAGGGCCAUCGACAGCUCGUACUGCGUCGCGCAGAAGCUACUCAACGACGUCGACCUCAAGAUACUCAUGUACAACAAGUAUGGGAAAGGGUUCAUGAAAAAAUGCCGCAUGUCGCCGGACGCGUUCAUCCAGCUGAUCUUACAGCUGUCGUACUACCGCACGGCAGGCCGCUUCUGUCUCACUUACGAAGCCUCCAUGACGCGUCUGUUCCGCGAGGGCCGCACCGAGACCGUGCGCCCCUGCACCAUCGAGAGCUCCGCCUGGGUCACGGCCAUGGAGAACCCUAACGCCACCGUUGAAGAGAAGCUCGAGCUGUUCAGUCUAGCCGGCCAGCGGCACCAGCUGGGCUACCAGGACGCGAUGGCCGGGCACGGCAUCGACCGCCACCUGUUCUGCCUGUACGUGGUCUCCAAGUACCUGGAGCUGGAGUCGCCCUUCCUGCAGGAGGUGUUCAACGAGCCCUGGCGGCUAUCCACCAGCCAGACCCCGCACGGUCAAACUAACCAGCUGGACCUGAAGAAGCACCCGAAGUGCAUCAGCACGGGUGGCGGCUUCGGCCCCGUGGCCGACGACGGGUACGGCGUCUCCUACAUCAUCGCCGGCGAGGACCUGUUGUUCUUCCACGUCUCCAGCAAAAAGAGCUGCCCCAAGACGAGCUCGACUAACUUCGUGAAUCAAAUAGAAAGAUCCCUAAAAGACGUCCAAGACCUCUUCAACGAAUAUAAUAAAAAAAAGAAUGGGGCUAAAAACAGUAAAUAAUAGUAGUAGACUCGUACACAGUUUUAUAAAAUAUCGCAGUCUCUUGUUGUUGUUAUUGUAUUGAUUAUGUAGUUUAGUAAAAUUUUAAAAUAUUAGGUAUAUGCGGGGACUACGAGUAUUUGCUAUGUUAUUAUAUUUGUAGCGUGACGUAGGCACAAAUGUACGUACGUUCAAGGACCAAAACCAUCAAAACAUCGGCAUGUACAGUUAUUCAUGUAGAAUAGAAUCACAAGAUAAAUUAUGUAUAAUACGUAGGUUAAAAAUUUUAUGACCAGACAUUUGACAAAAACUGAUUAUAUGCAUGUUGAAGUUUGUUAUUCAUUUCUAAAAUGUAUUUUUAUAAAUUUUACCAAAUCCUAACAAAUUCAGUGCCAAGAACAAGCUAGGUGUGUUCUGUUUGUAUUGGAAAUGGGGCGCUUGGCACUGAACGUGUUAACCUUCGGUUGGCGUUUUGUAGGAAAAAGUAAAUAAUGGUAACGUUCCGAAAUGACUAGCCAGUGGGUGUGCCCUGAGGAGCGACCCGGCCGAGCAUGCCGCACGUGGUGGAGCCUGAAACGACUAGCCAGUGGGUGUGCCCUGAGGUGUCAGGGAGGAGCGACCCGGCCGAGCAUGCCGCACGUGGUGGAGCCUGAAACGACUAGCCAGUGGGUGUGCCCUGAGGUGUCAGGGAGGAGCGACCCGGCCGAGCAUGCCGCACGUGGUGGAGCCUGAAACGACUAGCCAGUGGGUGUGCCCUGAGGUGUCAGGGAGGAGCGACCCGGCCGAGCAUGCCGCACGUGGUGGAGCCUGAAACGACUAGCCAGUGGGUGUGCCCUGAGGUGUCAGGGAAGAGCGACCCGGCCGAGCAUGCCGCACGUGGUGGAGCCUGAAACGACUAGCCAGUGGGUGUGCCCUGAGGUGUCAGGGAGGAGCGACCCGGCCGAGCAUGCCGCACGUGGUGGAGCCUGAAACGACUAGCCAGUGGGUGUGCCCUGAGGUGUCAGGGAGGAGCGACCCGGCCGAGCAUGCCGCACGUGGUGGAGCCUGAAACGACUAGCCAGUGGGUGUGCCCUGAGGUGUCAGGGAGGAGCGACCCGGCCGAGCAUGCCGCACGUGGUGGAGCCUGAAACGACUAGCCAGUGGGUGUGCCCUGAGGUGUCAGGGAGGAGCGACCCGGCCGAGCAUGCCGCACGUGGUGGAGCCUGAAACGACUAGCCAGUGGGUGUGCCCUGAGGUGUCAGGGAGGAGCGACCCGGCCGAGCAUGCCGCACGUGGUGGAGCCUGAAACGGCAUUCAACGGCCGCUUGAAUCAAUCCAAACUAGUUUCAUUUAUUUUAGAUACAUUCUUAGAAUGAUAUACAGUCGUUAAAUAUGAUAAUCUUGAAUAUUUAUAAUUUGCUUUUAUCUGCAUUAUAUUGCUAAGAGGUAAGUUGCUAUAGGUACGUGAUAUAUCACAAGUUAUAUUUAGUAAUGUGUCAAUAACGAAGAAUAGAAAGUAACACUCCAUCUUAGAACCUGAGUUCUUUCAAAACAUAUCCUCACCUUUUCCGCUGUAGGUAAGUCUUUAAACUCAAUCUAUAAGAAAAAGUGUAAAUGCGUUUUAAAUAAAUAUACACAUUAAUUGUACCAGUAAAUUAUUAUUUCAAUUCAUUUGGCAAUGUCAAUCAUUUAUUCAUUACGUGUGUAAAUAUUCAAAAUAAACUUUCAAUCAAUAAUUACUUCACAAUAAAUAAUUCAUAAUAACAAAAUAAUUAAUUCAUUAGAAAUACAAGAAUGACUAAAUGACAUACAGACGAAGACACUUAUUAGAAAAACUUAUUACGUUGUUAUAUUACAUAUGUGCAAAUUUUUCAUUUCUCAGUCACUCGCCUACUUAUUGGUUCAUUUUUCAGAACCAACACUAACCAAAAGACAGCACAACAGGCCAGUUUCUCGAUUCUGUCACAUUACACCAAUCAAAUCUUACAAAAAAAUCUGCUAAAAAACAAUGCGUGAUGUAGUUCUGUAUUUUUUGUAUGUUCUUUGGAGUCCUUGAAGGAAUAUGAAACUAUGUUUUGCAAGCAAAAAAGGUGGUGCUCCCUGCGUAAUUUGCGAAAAACGCAAACUUUUCGGACUCUUCAGUGUUUGCAAUUUUAUUAUAAAACUAUGGGUUCUUGGUCAAAACUUGCUGUGUAAUGUUGAAAUUACAUUAAAUUUAGAACCAUUUACAGCGCCGUAUGUCAAAUAGAGAUUGAGAUAUGAGGCUUUAAAAAAAUGGUAUUUUUUUCUUUUUAACUAAAUUUUUCUUUUUGCCUAUAUUUUAGGUCAAAUAUCGGCGCAACCGCUCAUGCUAUGAGAUAUAUUGCGAUAAAUAAAGUUGUAGUAAAUUUAAUUACCUUAAAUAACCUUAAAAUAAAAAAAAUAAAAGUGCAAGAAAGGGUCAGUAAGUUCUCUUGUCAUCAUAAAAAAAUGAAAUUGCUAUAAUGGGGAGGGCAACUAAUGUAUUGUUUAAGGCAUAGUCAAAAUCCCUACAAAAGCAGUACCAAUCGUCGAGAGCGCAAUCUAGGAUUAGCUAUUACCGGCCUUCCCCGAUAGCAGCAGAGCGCUGUUAGAGAUCAACCAUUUUUAAAAUGCACUCCACUCCUAAGCACUUCAUUCAUUCAGUAAUGAAAUCAAGAUACAAUCUGUAGUUUUGCUUGUUUUUCGGCCCCACUGUUUGAUCGUAGCCAUUGAUCGUAGUCCACGAUGCCGAUUCUGAUUUACCAAGUUUAUCUUGUUUUGAUACGACCUGAUAGUUUUGAUCAUGUCGUGAUCUUGUAUUGACACGACUAACAAACAGUACACACAAGAGCAGCAGUAAGCGCGAGCUAGACAUUUAAUGACACGACUUCUAGUAAUUCCAGUGCGGUUCACCAGCACCUCGCCAAUCAGCGUGAACUAUCGUCAAGAUCGUAUCAAAACAAGAUCAACUUGUUAAAUCAGAAUCGGCAUCGUGGACUACUAUCAAUGGCUACGACCUAAAAGUGGGGCUGAAAAACAAGCAAUAGUACAGAUUGUAUCUUGAUUUCAUUACUGAAUGAAUGAAGUGCUUAGGAGUGGAGUGCAUUUUAAAAAUAAUUGAUCUCUAAAAGCGCUCUGCUGCUAUCGGGGAAGAUUGGUACUGCUUUUGUAGGGAUUUUGACAAUGCCUUAAACAAUACAUAGCAACUUCAUUUUUUAGGGUUCCGUACCCAAAGGGUAAAAACGGGACCCUAUUACUAAGACUCCGCUGUCCGUCCGUCUGUCUGUCACCAGGCUGGUAUCUCAUGAACCGUGAUAGCUAGACAGUUGAAAUAUUCACAGAUGAUGUAUUUCUGUUGCCGCUAUAACAACAAAUACUAAUAAAGAAACUCACAUACAUACAAACAUGAACGCGGAAAACAGAAUAAAAUUAAUAUUUAAGUGGGGCUCCCAUAGAACAAACGUGAUUUUAUUUGCCGUUUUUGUGUGUAAUGGUACGGAACCUUUCGUGCGCGAGUCCGACUCGCACUUGGCCGGUUGUUUUUAUGAUAACACGAGAACUGUAGGUCUUACUGAUCCCUUCAUGCACUUAAAUGAAAGGUAAUUAAAUUUGCUACAACUUUAUUUAUUGCAAUAUAUCAUAGCAUGAGCGCUUGCGCCGAUAUUUGUCUUAAAAUAUAGGCAAAACGAAGAAAUACGUUUUUUUAAAGACUCAUAUCUCAUGAACUAACAGCGACAUACGGCGCUGUAAAUGGGCUUAAAUUUAUCAAAAUUUAAUGUACUUUUAACAUUACGAAGCAAGUUUUGUUCAAAAACCCAAUAAUAAAACUGUAAAAACUAAAAAAGUCCCAAAUUUUUGAGGUUUUUCGCAAAUUACGCAGGGAGCAACACUUAUUUUUGCUUGCAAAAUAUAGUCUCACAUUACUCCAAGGUAUCCAACAACAUACAAAAAAUACAGAACUACAUCACGCAUUGUUUUUUUAUUGUAAGAUUUGACCGAUGUACAUUAUUCGCAAUAAAAAGCGGUCUGAUAAGCCACACGAUAUUUUAUCACUUUUCUUUCGUGCCGUUGACGGAGAUGCGCGAUGUUUUGUUCUAGCCCAGUGUCAACUACUUUAUUCGUGGCUCUGAUGGCUCUGUGUGUCUGGCUAAUCUGCAUAAACAUACUGUGUAGGUAAAAUACACCCAUAUUUUCUUUAAGAGUCCCCGGCAAGCUCGGCCGAAUUGCACCUUUCCAUACAAACGUAGUUCCACUCUCAUUUUAAAACUACGUGUUGGAUUGUAAUGAAACUUUGCACAUACAAUGACAUGAGGUAAAUCUAGGUCUGUAUUUAGUUUUAUUAUUAUUAUUUAUUAUAUAGCUCCAGAUUAUAAAACAAACGAAAUAGAGCAUAAACAAGUUUUGUAUGAAAAACUUAAAUUAGCUGUAUUUUUUUAACUAUGGUAUCUGAAGCUACAUAAACUAAUUACAGACAUAGAUAAACCUUAUCCUAUUGUAAGUACAAAGUUUCAGAGCAAUCUAGCUAAUCGUUUUAGAAUGAGAGCGGAACUACGUUUGUAUAGAGAACCGAGCAUGCCGGGGACCCUUAAAUGUUUCUAAAAGUAUUUAUUUACAAAUUGUAAUGUGUAAAUAAUAUGCAUAUGCUUAAAUGUGUACUUAUAAUGUUAGGAAUGUUGGACACAAGUUUUAUUAAUUAGUAACAGAUUGUGCAAUUAAUUUGUAUACAGGGCAUAUCACCUGUCUUAAUAUGGUAAACGGGUGUAUUUAAUAAUAGCGAACGGCAGCCAAUACGAUAAGAUUAACAACUUUUUAUAUAGUCCGUCCAACAGAACUGUAUCGUUUUAAUACUCUUAUUACUCAAGUUUUACUUAAUUUCUAAAUGUAACCUCUGCAAGAGUACAAUUAACUUAAUUUUCGAUGAGCGCCCCAUUUUAGUUGCUCGUUUUUUGUUUUAUGAUACUUUCAAUAAAAUAAGGUGUUGCAUGAAUAAAGUUAUUUAUACUAACUAAUACUCCAGAAGAACCAUGUUCAAAUAAUUAUAUAGAUAGACCAUAGUAGUUUUACUAAGUGUUAAAAUCAUGCAAUUAAAAAUAUUUUUUAUUAUAUAUGUACUUUAGUUUCGAAAUGCAAUAUUUUCUUCUUUUAUUGUUUGACUUUUUAUCUAAUUUCUGUAAAUAAAAUGUGUAAAA
This is an RNA transcript of Cydia strobilella, 7762 nucleotides long. It is a transcript of the gene named carnitine O-palmitoyltransferase 1, liver isoform, with no coding region annotated. Lineage: Eukaryota; Metazoa; Arthropoda; Insecta; Lepidoptera; Tortricidae. The record is from RefSeq and is a predicted model, not a curated record. The transcript is spliced from 18 exons.